Long non-coding RNA from Gadus macrocephalus (Pacific cod), 482 nucleotides. RefSeq lists it as uncharacterized. The record is from RefSeq and is a predicted model, not a curated record. NCBI's taxonomy places the organism in Eukaryota, Metazoa, Chordata, Actinopteri, Gadiformes, Gadidae. The transcript is spliced from 2 exons.
GGAGGGGGAAGAGGGGGAGGAGGGCGAAAGAAGAGGAAGAGAGGAGAAAGAGGGCGAGGAGGUGGGAGAGGAAGAGUGGGAGGGAGAGGAGAAAGGAUGAAGAGGUGAUAGAGGGACGCGAAGGAGGAAGAGGAGCAAGAGGAGGAGGAGGAGGAAGAGAGGGGAAGGAGGAGGGAGAGGAGAAAGAAGGGAUAGGAAGAGAGGGAAUGCUGUUUAGAUGCUGGGCUGUGUUCCUUGGAGACUGUUGCUACAUACAGAAGAGCCCCUGGACCUGCUCUGAAGGUGGGACACCGUGGGGAGGGAAAGGCCGAAGGAGGAGAGGAACAUAAAAUGGAACUGGCUUCAGCAGACGGCUCCUCGGACCGCGGGGGUCGCGGUUCGAUCGCCGCCUCGCCUCUUUGAUUUUGUACAUCGUCCCGCCUCCUCGCGCCGGGGGGCUGUUGAUUGGCAGUGUCCAGGUCCAAUGAGGUGGCAGAGUGAGU